Molecule: transfer-messenger RNA, 368 nt
Filed under: uncultured Sphingobacterium sp.
Lineage: Bacteria; Pseudomonadati; Bacteroidota; Sphingobacteriia; Sphingobacteriales; Sphingobacteriaceae
Rfam family: transfer-messenger RNA
About the family: Bacterial tmRNA, also known as 10Sa RNA or SsrA, is named for its dual tRNA and mRNA-like properties. Its role is to liberate the mRNA from a stalled ribosome.
Source: RNAcentral
GGGGUCGACCGGAAUUGACAGGGUAGCGAUGGUUAUGUAAGCAUGCAGUGCAUUGUUAGUCUAGCACUUGAAUCUGAACUUUCAACUUUUUAAAUGGCGAAGAAAACUACGCCUUAGCUGCUUAAUUUAGAAUUAAGACAAGCUUUUGUCUCGUCAGGUGUUGCCUUACCGCUUGACACUAGAGGCACCGAACAGUAAGACUGGUCCUUGUGACGUUGCUAAGCAAAGGAUGAGAUUCAGCAAAUAAGGAGAACAGUAUAGGUAAGCGACGCACCUUCUCUCUCCCGACAAUUAAAGCGGAGCUAAGCAUGUAGAAAGCGUAAAUCAUACUAUGUUUGGACGAGGGUUCGAAUCCCUCCGACUCCACA